Molecule: long non-coding RNA, 10216 nt
Filed under: Nicotiana benthamiana
Lineage: Eukaryota; Viridiplantae; Streptophyta; Magnoliopsida; Solanales; Solanaceae
Description: long non-coding RNA (NBEN_LNC025008)
Source: RNAcentral
ACGAAAUUUGUGAGAAGAAAGUGGUGGCGAAGGUGAUGGACAGUGAGUGGAAUCGAGGAUCACUUGGUGCGGCCGUGGGUGAGGAGUUGACUAAAGGACUUGUUGCGGCUAUGGGCAGUGGGUUUGUGCUGGACUGGCGGAUCGCAACGGAGUGCGGCAAGUGCGAGGCAUCAGACGGUCGUUGUGGUUACAACAAUUUAACCGAUGAGUCCUUGUGCUAUUGCAAAGAUGGAACCGUAACGUUUGAUCAUUGCAACGGUACGUUUUCUUUCCAAUGUUUAACUCAUAUACAUUGAUAGUUUUGACAGUGAAAUUUAGUCUAUUGCAGCAAAUUGCGUGUCAUAUGUUUCAGAUAACUAGUUCCGUUUAUUGUGGGAAUCACCUGUUAGAUGAUCCCUAGAAAUUCCUUUGUCUGUGUGUUAAUCCCAUACUAUUUUUGGUAAUUAGACAACUUUAUUCCAAGAAAAAUAUAUGUACAAACGAAUCAGAAAACCCCUAAUUAGCUGAACAAACCUCAGAUUUAAAACCCAACAGACUCAAGAAAACACCAAGACCUACGUAUAUCCGUAAUUACACUAUUUCUAUGGAUAAAAAUUCAGUUUACUCAACUGUCCCUCUAGUCUCUUGCACCAGUAGCCCCUAUGAUGAGCCUUUGGUUUAUUAUGAGUACUUUGGUAUUUAUCUUGCAUACUCUGUGAAUAUUGUGAUCAAUUUGUGUAGCUGUUGAUCUUUCUAUAUCAAGGUUAGACUUUUGGUCGGUGUGUGAUUGAAUGGUAGAGGUAACGUGAAGACUUUUUCCUCUCAUUUCCUUGUCUAGCUUAGGUGUUUAGUGGGACAGACAUUAACGUCAAUGGUAUUAGCUAUAGGGUCAUUGACUAGCUGGCUUUAGAAUUUUGACUUUGGCACAAAAUAUCAUAGCCCUAUCACCAUCUCAACAUUAGCAACAAAGACUAUUCCUCAUAUUCUUUUUUGAUUACUUCCUCAUCAUGUCGUGGCAAAAAUAUGAAUGGCGCUCAUAAUUGCUCCUAUAGUCAUAUGAUAAGUCGACGUAAAUAUGUUUUAGCUCUUUCUUUUGUUCUAUAAUGUAUAGUUUGUACUUGUUAGUCGUCUAGCUCUUCAUAGGUCCACCACAAAGAAAAUGCCUGAAAAUAAGUAAAAAAACAUAAGAUUAAAAUUCCGUAGGAUGCCCAAUAACUAAAAGAGCAUUCUCCACUUCUAUUCCGCACCAAAAACUAUUUACGUUCGAUAGUCGAAAUAUAUUAAAUUUAUAUAAUUUUUUUAAAUGCCAUAUAUAUAUAUAUAUAUAUAUAUAUAUAUAUAUAUUGCACACACAAAAAAAAUAUAUAAAUUUUUUUUCUCUAUUUGAGAGNNNNNNNNNNNNNNNNNNNNNNNNNNNNNNNNNNNNNNNNNNNNNNNNNNNNNNNNNNNNNNNNNNNNNNNNNNNNNNNNNNNNNNNNNNNNNNNNNNNNNNNNNNNNNNNNNNNNNNNNNNNNNNNNNNNNNNNNNNNNNNNNNNNNNNNNNNNNNNNNNNNNNNNNNNNNNNNNNNNNNNNNNNNNNNNNNNNNNNNNNNNNNNNNNNNNNNNNNNNNNNNNNNNNNNNNNNNNNNNNNNNNNNNNNNNNNNNGGGGGGGGGGGAUGGAAAUCAAAGAUAGCCAGAUUUAUUACUAGUAAUUGAAAAAUAGUUACAUUUUCAAAAGUAAUUAAUAUUAACCACUUUUUCAUGUAAAGAUAAAAUCUGAACAAAAAUACCGUUAAAAUCUGAAAAUAUUCCAGUAUAAUAUACUGGAGUUCAAUUUUUUUUUACAUAUGAGCUUCCAACAUAAUGUAAUGGAAUUUCAUAUUGUACUGGAGUUCCAACAUAAUAUGCGGAAAGUUUAUAUGCAGGAGAUCCAUUAUCCUGCAUAUUAUGUUGGAACAUUCUGUGUGCUGGAGUUCCAACAUAAUAUACUGGAAGUCUAUACGCAGGAGCGCUGUAAUCUCGCAUAUUAUACUGAAUUUUUUUGUGUUUCAUCAUAACAAUGGCUAUUUUUUAUUAGGGGGAUUUGCAUCUAUACUUGCUUUUUGUGUCACGUUUUAACUUGUGCCCUCUUUACAAAAAUAAUUACAAGCGUACUCGUUUUUUUGCAUAACUUCAGCAUACGGGGUUGAAGUAGCAAAGGCAAUCACGCAAAACUUCAGCAUUCUAGUAGACGGGCCUGAAGUAGAAAGUAUGCUGAAGUUUUUGUUUGUAAUUGCUGAAUUUAAACAUAGUAGCUGAAGUUUUGUUCUCUAUUUCCAUUGCUGAAGUUUUUAUUUGUAACUGGCGAACUUCAGCUUUAGAGCUGAAAUUUUUUUUUGUAACUUGCAAACUUCAACUCUAAAGCUAAAAUUUUUAUUUUUGUAACUUGGCGAAUUUCAGUUCUAGAGCUGAAGUUUUUGUUUUAUAACUGGCGAACUUCAGCUUUAGAGCUGAAGUUUUGUUUUUAAGUUUUUGUUUUUUAAUUGGCAAACUUCAGCUCUAGAGCUAAAGUUUUUAUUUUUGUACUGGCAAACUUCAGCUCUAGAGCUGAAGUUUUUGUUUAUAACUGACGAACUUCAGCUGAAGUUUUUGUUUUGUAACUAUCGAACUUCAGUUCUAGAGCUGAAAUUAUUUAUUUCAUUUGUAAAAACUUCAGCACUAUAUAAGCAAUAGAUAUUUUUAUUUCUUAUUGCAUACAACUAUACAAGUAACUUGAUGUUUCCUUAUCAUGGGCAAGAUGCUAAAUUUGUGGUGAAUUGCUUUCACUUCAUCCCAAAGUUAAAGGUAAAAAAAGACAUGGUGCCAAACAAUGACCACUUGCAGAUCCAUGCGUAUUUCUUGACUGGAAUGUAGUAGUAUGGGAAAAUUUUCAUCUUAUCGUUGAACUAGAUAUGUCUACACAAAAUUUUAAUAAAUGAAGUUCCAUAGCAGCACCAACAGCAGCAGAAGAAAGAAUAAUAAUAAUAAUAAUAAUAAUAAUAAUAAUAAUAAUAAGAAGAAGAAGAAGAAGAAGAANNNNNNNNNNNNNNNNNNNNNNNNNNNNNNNNNNNNNNNNNNNNNNNNNNNNNNNNNNNNNNNNNNNNNNNNNNNNNNNNNNNNNNNNNNNNNNNNNNNNNNNNNNNNNNNNNNNNNNNNNNNNNNNNNNNNNNNNNNNNNNNNNNNNNNNNNNNNNNNNNNNNNNNNNNNNNNAGAAGACGAAGAAGAAGAAGAAGAAGAAGAAGAAGAAGAAGAAGAAGAAGAAGAAGAAGAAGAAGAAGAAGAAAAAGAAGAAGAAAACGAAGGAUGAGAAGGAGGAGGAGAAAGGGGGUUGCAGUUAUUUAAAAUUGGGUACAAGUUAAAAGUUUUUUAAAAAUGGGUAUAGGUUAAAUGGGGGCGACCAAAUAGGGCGUCCUGUGCAAUUUUUACUUUUUAUUACUAGUCCAAUAACUGACUAACUCGUACUAUUUUCACUAUUUUCCCAAGCCAAUGUCAAUGCAGGCCUUAAUAAGAUCUAAUAGCCCAUUAGACCUGUUUAAGUUGGAAUCCUAUGGAAAAGGAAAAUUUUCCUAUGCUUAAAGAGGUUUCAUAACCAGGCCUAAGCGCGCAAAGAAGGAAAGGCCACACACUUCGGCCUAACGGGAAUGAGCAAUGACAAAAUGGGAAGUUGAGGUGCCUUAGAGUCCAUUGCUAUCUCGUCCCAUUUCCACUAUGGUAUUUGAACUGAUUGUAAGUGUCUUACUGGUCUCUGGUGCUCAACAUUCACUUUUGACUUGCCAAAAAAGUUAACUGAUGGAACUGAUAUAAGCGUAGCUCUCUCUUUCAAAUACAAAUGAAGAUAGGUUAUUUGAAUUCGCGUUCUUCUGAUUUCCUCUUGUGUGCUUUUUGGCGAGAAACUCCCAUUUUCUUCUCUUUUCUUACUCUUUCAAGGAUGGUUCAGGGGGAGACAGUUUCGCAAAAAGCCAACCCAAAUAAUAAGGUAAGAGUUGGAGACCGCCCAACAUAAGCCUAUCUAAGCGAUGCGAUGCCUAUUUCAAUGCCAUAAACUAGAUAGCAUUUUCCUGGUAAUAAGAAGGGUGAAAUGGGGAAGCACAGAUAUAAUCAUUUUUGAGCUAUUAUUGAACUUAUACUUGCGUUACACAAUUUUUUUCUUAAUUUACCUACUUUGGAACACAUUUCAUAUGUCGCGUCUGAAGUUCCAAAAUUUUGCGUCCGAAGUAAGAAAUUUGGGUAGUUUCGCUUUUGAAUUUUUCCUCGUGACAGCGCAAACUUAAGACACAAAGUUACAAAUUUCAAUUUAUGUUCGCAUAUAAGUUUUUUCCUCGAUGGCGAGGGAGAAUGAUGAUGAUGAUGAGGAGCCACUUGUCUGAAGUUAUCUUACUUUGAACAUCAAUUAAUUUUUGGGUAUAUAGGGGCAACAAAAUUGGAUGUCCUGUGAAGUUUUUAUAAGGAAAAAAGAGUUCAAGAACUUUCAUCGGAUGUCCUCUUAUCGGUUUAACAAAUAUAAAUAUCCGCAAAAGUUGUGCUCCUCCUACUCCUCUUUUUCCCCGUCAUUCUUCUUUCUUCUUUGUCUUCUUCAUAUAUAUUGUGAAAACAUGAAGACUCAUUGCUUAUUUGUUGUCAAUUUGGUGAAGAAACUUAAAUGUUAUUACUCCAUUUGUUUCAAAUUUAGAUGAGGUAUUUUGACUCGAAACAGAGUUUAAGAGAAAAGAGGGAGACUUUUGAAACUUGUGGUCUUAAAAGCUUAAGGAGGAAAAGCUUUAUGGGGCCAUGAUAUUUGUGCUAUAAAGGCUUCUUAUUAAGGGUAAAAUGGGUGAAAUUAAAAGUUUAAAGUUAAAUUAUUUUCAAUUAUAAAAAUGUGUCAUUCCUUUUAAAUAGACUAAUAAGUAAAGUGCGACAUCUAAGUUAAACUGGGGGAGUAUUAGAUUUUUUGUGAAGAAGAAAGAGUAUACAUUGAAUCUAGGGUUGUCAAAUGUGGCCAAAGCCCAAAUGACCCAUCCAAAGUUGGGUUGGUUAUUGACAUGCCUAUUUAUUGAACUCAACUCAUCUUAACCCAAUCUAUCUCAACUCAUUUAAAGUUUGGCUGAUUUUUUGCUCAAAUUGAUCCAUGAGUAACUUUGCCAAUAUCAUAGAAGUAAUUUUCUUUUUUUAUAUGUUAUAUAUGAUCAUCACAAAAGAAAAAAAAAAUCUUAUUUAGUAAUUAUACAAUUUAUAGGAAAACAACAUAUACUAAUUAAAGAUUGAUAAGAGUAGGGCGGUUGGGCUAUGACCUAAAAUUUAGCUCAUCUUGACCCAAUCUAUCUUAAUUAAAAUAUUUUUUUGAUCCUAAUUAUUAACUCAACCCAUUUUAAUCUAUUCAAAAUCAGUAAAAACCCCCAUUUGACUCCCUAGUUGAAUCCAACCAUGGGAAUUGUUAUGAUUAGUAAUAGAAUAUCCCAUAUCAAAUUUGGAAUCAAUUAUAAUUGAUGUGGACCAAUUGGAUGAAUUUUGAAGUUGCUGGUGAAAUUUCUUAGAAACUUCUUCUUCUUCUUAAAAACUACUACUACUUCUUCUUCUUGUUAAGAAACUUCUUCUUCUGAAAUUCAGUCAAAACAAAGUUUAAUUUUCACAAAAAAUCCUCAAAAUUGAGAUAUAAACUCCAAACUAUAUUCUCGAUUAUUUUCACCAACACCCAAUCAAACAAAUAAUGAUUUUUGAAAACCCAAAUUUGAAUUCAAAGCUUUCAAGCUUUUUAGUGACUGUCAAUGGUAGAGUUGCUGCUCUCUUUUCAUUUGCUUUAUAUUACUGAAAUUAACGAUUGAGAAAUAGAAAGAAAAUUUCUUAUAUUAAUGAUAUGGUAAAUUACUAAUGAUUUAGUAGAUAAAUGAAAACGGUCACUAAUAUUAGCCAACAAUUUGUUUCAAAAUUUACAUGACGAAGUGGAUUUGUAAUAUUAGGAGAAAGUAUAAUAGAAGAUGAAGUUUCAACUACUAAAGAUUAUAAAUUUAUUGCAAACGGGUAAAAGAACUAAUUAUUAGCCAACUGAUUUAGCUAAAAGAAAUGUCCUAGUUAAUAUUUUGCAUUAUAAUUAGUAUUUGAUGAAUGAUAUAAUAAUCGUAGAAAAACUUUAAACAUAAUAGAUAAAUAUAAAACUACACACAAUUUUAAUAAUAAAAUUUUAUAUAUGGUAUAAGAAGAAAAAAAUCUCAAAUUUAUUUUAAAGUUAUAAUACAAUUUAUACCAAACUCUUGAUGAAUUGUCAGGCCUUGUGGCAAGUCCAUCUAUUAUAAAUCCUGCUGAUUCACUUUGACAUUUUGAACAUAAGUUUCACUGCUAAAAUUUAAAUCGAUCGACGGCGACCGGCUUCGAUCUGUCAAAAAACCAGCCGUCGAUUGUUUAAAAUAUUUAAUUUUUAUUUUAUUUUAUGAAAUCGAUCAACUUCAACCGGUUUCUUUGGUGCAAAAUGUCAAAAAUUAUAUUUUACGUCCUGCAAAAUUCAAUUUUGAUCAAUUUUUUUAGUAAAAAUAAAUUAAAAUUAAUAUUAAAAACCCGACCAAAAUCGGUCAAUUAUUUCGGUCGGUCAAAAUACAAUCGAUUUCGAUCGAUAAUUUUAUUUUUUAAUAAAACUUAAUUGUUUGUAAAAUUUAAUUGACGGAUCAAAAUCAGUCAGAAAAUACUCACCGAAAUAGCUGAUUUCGCGUUACAUGUCACCAUCGAUAUUUCCUUUAGAUAGUUAGUCCUUAAAGGGAAUGUGAACAUGGUGACUAAACAGAAGUUAGAGUACUCUUUUUUCCUCUUCAUUUCUUCACUUUCGGUUCAACCAACUCAAUUUAGAAACCUAUGGUCCUGCACUCAAUCUAAACUCAAAUCAUUUAAUCCCCACGUUGGUCAAUCUCAAAAUUUUCAAUCUCCGUUUUCCUUAUACUAAUAUUUUAACUAUAUCUUGACUUAAUUGAAAAGUAGUAGUUGGAAUUUGACGUCAGCUAAUAGUAAGACUUGCAUCUUUGGUUAUUUGCUUCUAUAUAAUGCAAUUACUAUGUUGUACUUUCACACCUGAAUUUCUGUAUUUUCUAUCAUUUUAACCUGACUUCACGACUCAAGCUUUUCUAUUGUUUGUAUUAAGUUAAUACAGAAGUUUUCGUGUAUCAACACAAAUAUUCAUGGUUUGCUUGUCAACAUUCAAGCUUUCGGCAUUUCAUUUGGGUACAUAGCAUAUGUGACUUAAAAGGAUAAAUUAGAUAUAACGGACUUUUAAGUAGAGAGGAAUGACUAUAAAGAUAUUCAUAUACUCGAACCCGAAAAACAAAAGUAAACUCGAUGCACUAAGCUUUUGAUAUGCGCGUAAUCCGGAGAAGGGUCGAACCACAACUCGAAUCCGUAACCUCCUGAUCAUAUGGCAAUAACUUUAUCAGUUAUACCAAGGCUCUCAUGCAUUCUCCUAUGGUCGAACCUAACAUAUUUAACUGAUUGAAUGAUAUAUGAUCAAAUCUAUAACUUCUUAUGCGGAACCUUAAUAAGAUUUAAGUUAUAUGCACUACAACACCGGUAGUGUGAAAGGAAAAAAUUACACUGUAUACCAGGUUAUUUACUAUUUAAUUUAGGUUAUCGAUCAAUGCUUAGAUAAUAUAAUUAACUGUAAUUACUUUUUGAUUGACCUGGUGAUUUAAAUAUUUCUUACACUCUCAAUACAUAAAAUUUAAACUCAUCUCCAUGACUUCGUAAUAACAUUUUAACACGCCCCAAUUUGAUGGAUUCCUUUACUUGCCUUAAAACUUACGGUUAAGGGUCAGAUUUGCCCUUGUACUAUUCAAAAUAAGCUACAUUUACCCUCUGUUUGCAUUCUUUAACAUAUAUCCCCCCACCGUUACACUUUCGGGCCACAUUUACCCUUCUUCCGUUAAACCUGGUUUCCUCAAGUUUUUUAAACACGUGGCAGUCAACGAUUGGAUCAGAUUAACCCACCCAUUCUAUUUUUUAAACCCGCCCGACCCACUUUUCUAACCCGCCCCGACCCCAUNNNNNNNNNNNNUUCGGGCCACAUUUACCCUUCCACCGUUAAAACUUGUUUCCUCAAUUUUUUUAAACACGUGGCAUUCUCUCAUUGGUUCAUAUUAACCCACCCAUUGAAACUAGUCAUCUGGUUCAUAUUUCUCUUUCUCUAUUCCAAAUUUCUAUAUUCAACGCCCAUUACACUACAAAGCUAGCAGCUGAAGUUUCCGCGCGCGCGCACACAUACAGAGUAGAUAUUCGGAUUUGUUGCUUCCUGAAAUUGUAGCUGCCAUGGGAAAUUGCUGCUCCAACGAGAGCGGUGGACAUUCGUCAGUUGGCGGUACCGGCGCUUACGUGGUCAAUCCAAACAACGGUCAUAACGAAGCCGUUGAUGCUCUCCUCAAGUCUCGCGGUUACGACGGCGUCUAUUCGCAUGUCGAGGUUCUUCACUCUCUCUGUGUUUUCACAUUUUCCUAUACUAUCUGUUAGCAGAUGACUAGUUUCUAUUUUUUGUUUUCUUUUUCCCACUAAUGGUGCGGAUUUAUGUAUCGUUGACUUGGCUUUGACUGUGAGAAGAAUUCGAAUCUACCGUAUUAUGCCCUUUCUGAACUGGCAGCCUGCUUAGAUCUGUCCUCAGCAUUUUACUGUCAUAUUUUUAGAGUUUAGUUGGAUGAUUGUGGUUGAUUAAGAUCCUUGAUGGGGAAUUCGUGUUAGGUGAGGAUACAGUACUGUUUCUUGUAACGAUUGAGUAAAUAAAUACCUAGGGGUCGGGGCGGGUUAUUUGGCUUCGAAUCGGUCGGGUGGCAAGACUUCAAUGGGUGGGUUAAUAUGAACCAAUGAGAGAAUGCCACGUGUUUAAAAAAAUUGAGGAAACAAGUUUUAACGGUGGAAGGGUAAAUGUGGCCCAAAAGUGUAACGGUGGGGGUAUAUUUGUUAAAGAAUGCAAACGGAGCGUAAAUGUAGCUUAUUUUGUAUAGUACAAAGACAAAUCUAACCCUUAACCAUCAAACUUAACAUAAACUGGAAUGUAACAACCACCUAAAGUGGUCAAAAAAGAAAUAUAACUACCCAAUCAUCGUAUUUUUGUGGACUAGAGUCAAGUCAAUAAUAACUGUACAAAGUCGUCUGAUUGACCUAAAAGCCAGUGGAUGGGGACCACAUUUUUGUUAUAGUUGCUUCAAGUUUUAAAAUUAGGUUGUCUUCAUUGGGCAACAAGGUAAGCGCCAAACACUCACAAUUAUUUAAUCAAACCAAAACAAAGAUAAGUUUGAAAUAUUUGAUUUAUAUAAGAUAAAUUGCACCAGUUGCUCACAACUAUGAUCCUAAUGCUUUCGUCUGUACCAAAAUAUUUUGUCCUGCUCCUCCUUCUCCCUUUGUUCUUUCUUCUUGUUUUAGACAUAACAUGAACCUUCAAAACCUAUUCAUGGUCAAGAAAUCUGUUUCUAUUCUUCUCAUUGCUAUUCUUUUCAUUACCUUAGCAGAUGACACUCUCUCUAUAUACCUCAAUUCUAGUGCUUGUAUUACACAUAGUUGUGGUAAUGGAGUUAAGAUAUCAUACCCCUUUUGGAUUCCUGGGAAACAACCACCUUAUUGUGGCUUACCAGCUUAUAAUGUUAGCUGCAAUAAGGAUAAGUCACUUCUCCAUAUUUCUGGAGAUGAAUUUAUCAUUAAGGAAGUGUUUUAUACAAACUACUCAAUUCUCCUAGCUAAAGCAGAUGUGUUUGAUGAAAACAAGAAAUGUCCAGUACCAACACAGAAUUUUAGCCUCAGGGGUGUACUCCUUUUCGCUCAGGGCCUAACACUGCAGAUCUCUUUUUUUUCUAUGACUGUACUCAACCUUAUGAAAGGGAGACAUAUGCUGUGAAUUGUGCCAGCAAUGCCACUCAUUAUUCUUUUGCUGUUUUUCAUACUGAGCUUUUGGAGCACUCUAACUAUUCAGUCGAGUCGUGUCAGGAUCCUGUUUAUGCCCUUGUUGAGACUGAUUCUCUAGAUAGAUUGUUAAAAAUGAAUUACAUGCAAGUUCUGCAAAAGGGAUUCUUUCUGCAAUGGGAUGGGACUAAUUGUAGAGAUUGCCAGAGUAGUGGAGGGCUCUGUGGUGUUCAAAAUAACGAAUUUAUAUGCAUUUGCAAAGACCAACCCCAACAACGAACUUGCCUUCAUGGUAAUCUAGAAGCUAUAAGUUUAAAUCCAUGUUUAACCAUAUUUCCAUUUAUUACAACAACAACAACACCAACAACAACCCAGUAUAAUCCCACUUAGUGGGGUUUGGGGAGG